RNAcentral lists this long non-coding RNA (3293 nucleotides) under Homo sapiens (human). Its description in RNAcentral is "HSALNT0273623". The record is from RNAcentral. Lineage: Eukaryota; Metazoa; Chordata; Mammalia; Primates; Hominidae.
CAAAUGCUGUGAUUAAGUGCUGAAUCAUAGUUGUUUAAAAUACAUUUCUUUAUCGAGCCAAUUAGCAAUGCUAAAAUUACCCCAGUGCUCUUACUUGAAUGACCAAGAGGUUCAAAACACAAAGUUCCGGAGCAGGAGAAUUAGACUGACUUACACAAUAAAUUAUUCUUUAAGAGGAAAAUCCAUUUUCAAAAAAUGUAUACCCAAGAAGUGAGAAAUGAAAAUCAGGCUGAAUGAUGAAAUGUUUUUUCACAUUGUCGGAAAAAUACAAGUCUCAGGAGUUGGCUUCAACAGCGCAGCCAGCGUUUCCGCAGGGCUGAGGACUGGGCUCGUGGACGGGGCUGCCCGCAGGCCUCAGUGGUGACAGUUCCAGAGCUGCGCGCACUCUGCCUGGCUGAGUGGAUGCAUUACCUUGCUCUCUAGAAAUAAUGGGAAUUACCCACUUAAUCCUUGGCACAAAGUGCUGAUAAUAUGCCAAUUAACGAGUAAUUAGGAAGAUUUUUCCCGAACAUUAGGUUCUGGGAGAAAGUCUCAUUUGAGAAAGAGGUUUGUAUGUCUUCUCUCCUCUUCCUGUGGUUUUCAGCUCAGCGGGCGUCCAGCGAAUCUGGGUUUGUUUACAAUGACUCCAGGGCUGUUCCAUUCACUGAUUUGGUUCAAGCAGCGUGUGUAAAUCAUGCUAUGCUGACCCUGGUCAUCCCAGAGCCCGCGUGAAUAAAAAAGGGGCCUUGCUCUCCCACUGUGAGACAGACUUGCAUGGGAUUCCUUCAGUGCAGAAUUCUGGAAUGUUGAUGAACACCAGGACAUCAACUGGGAGUGGCCCAGAAGCCCGAAGCUGAGAGGACAAAGCUCACUGGGUCCUCCACAAUCUCUACUUUACCAAAAUCCAUGCGGGUGCAUCAUAAAGAGAGAUGCUUGAUGACCAAGUUGUUCUGGACAAAUCAAGGUGACAUGAAAUGGCCGUUCUAGUCUAUGCAAUGGCAGCAUGAACACAGAAAGCUGAAACGGGGGAUCAGUUCUGCAGCCAAGAGACAUUAAAGCUCAAAGCACAGGAAAAGAGAGUGGAGGGGCUGCUGCCCCAGGAAGGCUGGGCCCACCCCUCCUCACAGGCACCCUGAUGCCUGUUCAGCUUGGCUCUCUGGAUGACAGGCAGAAGCCCCAGUUGCUUCUCUUCUCCACGGUGAUUUCUGCAUACUUUAUCCAAACCCCCUCCCCACCGCUGUUCAGUUUCUGGCUCCUCUUCCUGCCCGUGCUCUGAGGCCAGCUGGGGGCCUCCCAGGUGACUCCUGCUGCUGCUGUCACUGGACCCUGACGCUGUGCCGCACCCGAAUUCCUCCGAAUGGAGCCUUGGCCAGAGCAAGGCGUGCCGUGUAGAGGAGCGGAUCUGAGCCUGGCAGGAGAUCGCUAAAACCUUUGCCCUUCACACAAACGCGGAAGCACGGGGCGGGUGCUGAAGAGCCAAGCAAGUGUCCCCCAUUUCCUUCCAAGGCAGAGCAGCAGCCCAGGGAGGCCCAGUUUCCAUCGCGGCAGAAGGGCAGAAGAGUGGGGGAGGUCCCAGGACCACAGCCCAGGGGACACUCAGGAUGCGCCAGGAAGGACAUGGCAGACAGGCCCUUUAGGUGGAAAAGCAACCCUCAGCUGCCCAGAGAGCGGCCCCUCCAGGCCCUCCCCGCCGUCUGCAAAGCUCUUCAGCUGGGAGAGGAGGAAAGGGUUUGUUCUUGACCUCCUUCCUUUCCUUUCUUCUCCACUGUCCACCAGAGAGCAGGAAGACAGGCUGAUGCUCUUGUUAAAGAUGAAGGCAUAAUUCACAUGCCAUAAAAUUCACCAUUUUAACCAUUUUAAGGUGCACAGUUCAGUGGUUUUGAGUGCAUUACAUUGUUGGGCAACCAUCAGCAUGGUCUAAUUCCAAAACAUUUCUGUCACUCCAAAAAGAAAUCUUGUACCCAUUAGCAGUCACUCCCCAUUUCCCCCUACCCCCCAGCCCCCCGGCACCCACGAAGGUGCUUUCUCUGUUUCGAGGGAUCUUCCUAUUGUGGCAAAUCCUCUGAAUGGAAUCAUACAAUAUGUGGUCUUCUGCCACUGGCUUCUUUCACUGACCAUAAUUUUUCAAGGUUCACCCACGUUGUAGCAUGCGUCAGCGCUUCAUUCCUUUCCAUGGCUGGACUGUAUUUCAUUGUAUGUCUGGACCACAUUCUGUUUCUCUAGUCAUCAGUUGAUUACUUACUUUUCAGGGCCCACUUAGCCUUUCUUCCCAAGGGCAGGGGCUCUGUUGUCCACUGUUUUGGAGUCUUCCAGCAGACUUGAUGGAGUGUACCAGUGGUUUCCUUGCUGGGCAAAUAACCAGAGGGUCCCUGGGUACGGGAAUCUCUGAGUCCUGAUCUUUGGCUCUGCUGCAGACCAGGUCACUGUAUGAUCUUUUAGCAGCCUCUUUACCUCACCUGGCCUCAGUUUCUUCAUCUGAAAAAUGAAGGGCUUGAAGCAGAUGGUCUCUAACACUUCUCCUGGCCCAACACUUUAAGAUGUUUCAGCAAAGCAGUGAAGAAGCAGCCUUCUGUGACCUUUCUGAACAAGGCAGAGGAAAGCAAGCUGUAGGCUGACAUAGUUAGGUGAUUCCAUAACAAAAUUGCGCUGUAAACAAUCAUCUGGAUCAAUCGACAGAAGGCACUUGCAACAGGUUCCCAGAUGACAGAAAACUAUAGGAAUGACAGGGAAGGAAUGAUGGGGCAGAUUAAAAUGGAGAAAUUUAACAGGGACAAAUGUAAAAGUCGGACAUUUUGCUCCAAAGUUCAACAGAACAGCUACCUGCUUUGUUGGAUAUGUUCAGGCAGUGUCCUUUAUAAGAGUUUGAUUGACUCUAAAUGAAUCUCAUUAUGAGUCACCAUUGGGACAGGCUGCCAAAAGGCCAAUGUGACUUCAGAUUAAAUCAAUAGAGGUCUACUGGCUGAAACAAGGGAGGUGACAUUAUUGAGUCCAUCCCUGGUGUAUGUAGCUGCUACCCUCUGAGAAGGAGGCCCCCAAUAGGAAAAGCCAGAGGGAGGAUGGAUAAGACAUGAAGAGCUCUAGAACCAUGGUUUGGUAGUAGGAGGGGCUCAGGGUUUGGGUCUUUAAAAGAUAAGACAGAGAGUGCUGUUCACAUCUGUGAAGGAACAUGGCAUGAGAAGGGGAGUUGACUUCCACCAUGGGGACCUGCAGGGUGACUGGGGCUGGAAGAUGAUCAAUUGUGACCCAGGACCAGGAAGAACUUCGCAGCAACAAAAGUCACAGGAAAUGGAAAAAACUCCUGGUGAAGAACACAG